This is a long non-coding RNA of Magnolia sinica, 1453 nucleotides long. RefSeq lists it as uncharacterized. The transcript is spliced from 3 exons. The record is from RefSeq and is a predicted model, not a curated record. Lineage: Eukaryota; Viridiplantae; Streptophyta; Magnoliopsida; Magnoliales; Magnoliaceae.
GGUAAGGCACAACGAUUGAUUUACAAAACCCUUGCCAUUCUCUCUGAUAGCUGCUAGUCGCGACGCGCUUCUCGUCCAUACUCUCAUCAAAGAGAUACUUAAAACAUUUGGGAUACAAAGUAACUUAUGUACAGAACUUCACGGAUGUUGAUUAUAAGAUAAUUCGCAAAGCAUAUGAAUUGAGGGAAGAUCCAUUGAAUUUGAGUCGUCGAUUUUCCAAAGAAUUUAAUGAUGAUAUGGUUGAUCUUCAGUGCCUACCUCCUACUCAUGAACUACAUAUGAGCCAGAUGAAAGAUAUGAUAGCUCAGGAAAUUCUCUGCCUCUCACUCUACUCAUAUUUUUGAAAUCGCAACUAGAUUAUUGAAUAUGAUUUUUAUUUUUAUUUUUGUGUGUGCAUUAUUCGAGUGAAUAACAACUAUUGAAAUACGUAGUCGCCACACUUAGUAUAAUUGGUAUUAUGAGAGAUUCUGAAUCUAUUUUCAUAGGAUGUAUGUGAACCAGAGGUUGUUAACAUCAAGUCAGCCUGUACUUUUAAGUUUUCAUUAUUAGAUUUUGAUCUUGAAAAUCAUCUGCUCAUCUGCCAUCGAUGUUGUCUAUUUCAGUUUGUCCUUUUCUCUUGUUGAUGAUGUUAUAGCUCAAAAUUACCUUUCUAUAUUUGUGGCCUCUUUGCUUAAAUCACGAUUUAAUGGGAAAAAAAAAAAAAAAAAACAAACAAAGGAAAGAAUCCUACUGUUCUAGAUGCCCAACUUGGGUGUAUUGGUUAGAGUGGUCCUCUGCUGUAUAAGUCAUGAAAUCAAAACUCGCUUGGCUGUUUUGAAAUCCACCAACCAUUGUAUUUUCUAGGAAAACAUGGAGAUGUGAAAGUGAAUUUUACUAUAGAGCAGAAGCUGCAAAAGAGGAGACGAAUUGAGCUUGGUCACUUUUCUCACUCUGUUGAAGGCUUCCUAGUAGGGUGGAAUUAGUGUAUCAGACAGUUCUGUCGUAUCAUUUCAGCAAGGUUGGGUCAGUGGUGGACAUUGUCAUCGUAGGUAGCAGGUGGACAGGCCAUUGACGGGGAUUUGCAUUCAUGUGGUUUGCUUCAAGAGUAGAAGCAGAGAUCACGUUGAAGAGCUUGAUGGUCCAAUUGUUUUUGGGAGAAAAAUCAAAGUUGGUUUUGCUACAUAUAGCUUUGAGGUCUUAUGUGGUAUGGCAGGGGAUUACGUUUCAUCCUUCAGCAGUCCGGGAGGCACGAGGAUAGGGUAGAAAGGGAAGACAUGACUUAGAAGGGGGAGGGUCUCUAGGAGAGUAGGUAUCACUUAGAGGGAUGAAGGACAAUUAACCACUUGCUCUAAAAGCUCGAAUUGAUAGAUUAUGGUGAAUUAAUCCCUUUAUCUCAUAGCCCAGGCCCCACAUCAGAUGGGUUAGGAUCUCAGCCGAACCCCCCUCGUGGGCCCCACAUCACAUGGGUUCCGCC